This 492-nucleotide ribosomal RNA is filed under the name uncultured bacterium. Its description in RNAcentral is "partial 16S ribosomal RNA". It matches the Rfam family "Bacterial small subunit ribosomal RNA", at positions 29 to 507 of the family's 1533-position model. The record is from RNAcentral.
AGUGAACGCUGGCGGUAGGCCUAACACAUGCAAGUCGAACGGCAGCACAGUAAGAGCUUGCUCUUACGGGUGGCGAGUGGCGGACGGGUGAGGAAUACAUCGGAAUCUACUUUUUCGGGGGGGAUAACGUAGGGAAACUUACGCUAAUACCGCAUACGACCUACGGGUGAAAGCAGUGGAUCUUCGGACCUUUCGCGAUUGAAUGAGCCGAUGUCGGAUUAGCUAGUUGGCGGGGUAAAGGCCCACCAAGGCGACGAUCCGUAGCUGGUCUGAGAGGAUGAUCGGCCACACUGGAACUGAGACACGGUCCAGACUCCUACGGGAGGCAGCAGUGGGGAAUAUUGGGCAAUGGGCGCAAGCCUGAUCCAGCCAUACCGCGUGGGUGAAGAAGGCCUUCGGGUUGUAAAGCCCUUUUGUUGGGAAAGAAAAGCAGCAGGUUAAUACCCCGCUGUUCUGACGGUACCCAAAGAAUAAGCACCGGCUAACUUCGUG